RNAcentral lists this transfer RNA (84 nucleotides) under Candidatus Viadribacter manganicus. Its description in RNAcentral is "Caulobacteraceae bacterium OTSz_A_272 tRNA". It matches the Rfam family "tRNA". Rfam says of the family: Transfer RNA (tRNA) molecules are approximately 80 nucleotides in length. Their secondary structure includes four short double-helical elements and three loops (D, anti-codon, and T loops). Further hydrogen bonds mediate the characteristic L-shaped molecular structure. tRNAs have two regions of fundamental functional importance: the anti-codon, which is responsible for specific mRNA codon recognition, and the 3' end, to which the tRNAs corresponding amino acid is attached (by aminoacyl-tRNA synthetases). tRNAs cope with the degeneracy of the genetic code in two manners: having more than one tRNA (with a specific anti-codon) for a particular amino acid; and 'wobble' base-pairing, i.e. permitting non-standard base-pairing at the 3rd anti-codon position. The record is from Rfam by way of RNAcentral. Lineage: Bacteria; Pseudomonadati; Pseudomonadota; Alphaproteobacteria; Hyphomonadales; Hyphomonadaceae.
GCGAGCGUGGCGAAACCGGUAGACGCAGCGGACUUAAAAUCCGUUUGCCGCAAGGCAGUGCGGGUUCAAGUCCCGCCGCUCGCA